CCCAGACUCCUACGGGAGGCAGCAGUGGGGAAUAUUGCACAAUGGGGGAAACCCUGAUGCAGCGACGCCGCGUGAGCGAAGAAGUAUUUCGGUAUGUAAAGCUCUAUCAGCAGGGAAGAAAAAAAUGACGGUACCUGAGUAAGAAGCACCGGCUAAAUACGUGCCAGCAGCCGCGGUAAUACGUAUGGUGCAAGCGUUAUCCGGAUUUACUGGGUGUAAAGGGAGCGUAGGCGGCGCGUUAAGUCUGAUGUGAAAACCCGGGGCUCAACCACGGGAGUGCAUUGGAAACUGGCGGGCUGGAGUGGGCGAGAAGUGCGCGGAAUGCGUGGUGUAGCGGUGAAAUGCAUAGAUAUCACGCAGAACUCCGAUUGCGAAGGCAGCGCACCGGCGCCCUACUGACGCUCAGGCACGAAAGCGUGGGUAUCGAACAGGAUUAGAUACCCCGGUAC
RNAcentral lists this ribosomal RNA (449 nucleotides) under uncultured bacterium. Its description in RNAcentral is "bacterial SSU rRNA". It matches the Rfam family "Bacterial small subunit ribosomal RNA", at positions 330 to 793 of the family's 1533-position model. The record is from RNAcentral.